Molecule: long non-coding RNA, 581 nt
Filed under: Ananas comosus (pineapple)
Lineage: Eukaryota; Viridiplantae; Streptophyta; Magnoliopsida; Poales; Bromeliaceae
Description: long non-coding RNA (ACOM_LNC031172)
Source: RNAcentral
CUACCUUAGCUAAAUCUUUUUCGACUUAGUUUGGUUCGAGAAUUAGUAGGAACUAGUUAUAUCAGGGUUAGAUACAAGUAUUAGUUUUUGUAAAAAUAAGGGUAUUUUUUUGUUUGAAUGAAAAUGUCAGUAUAAGCUGAAACUAAAAAAAUUAUGUUUGGAUGGUUAUUGGGAAUAAGAAGAAUAGUUAUUAGUUAUAAAUAGAAAAUAAUGAUAUUACCCCUAUAAUUGAAUUUAAAUUUUUAAAUUUUAAACUUAUAAUUUUAAAUUGAAAAUUAAAAAUUUUAACUUUUAAAUUUUAAAAUUUGAAAUUAAAAUUUAAAAUUUUAAUUUUUAAAAUUUAAAUUUUAAAUUUAAGAGAAAUUUAAAUGUCAAAGAUAUAAAAUAGCAAAUUUAAAAUUUAAAAACUAAAAAUAUCAAAUUUAUAAUUUAUAAUUUAAAAAUAUCAAAUUUAAAAUUUAAACUUUAAAAUUUAUAAUUUUAAAUUAUAAAUUUAAAUUUUAAAAUUAUAAAUUUUAAAAAUUUAAAUUUAAAUUUAAAAUAAAUCUCUCUCUCUCUCUCUCUACCCGGGGGCUAGGAAC